GCCGGGGUGGUGGAACUGGUAGACGCGCCGGACUCAAAAUCCGGUGAAGGCAACUUCGUGUCGGUUCGAUUCCGACCCUCGGCACCA
This 87-nucleotide transfer RNA is filed under the name Gammaproteobacteria bacterium. RNAcentral describes it as "tRNA-Leu". It matches the Rfam family "tRNA". Rfam says of the family: Transfer RNA (tRNA) molecules are approximately 80 nucleotides in length. The record is from RNAcentral. Lineage: Bacteria; Pseudomonadati; Pseudomonadota; Gammaproteobacteria.